GGCGCGGUAGCAAAGCGGUUAUGCGGCGGCCUGCAAAGCCGCUCAGGUCGGUUCGACUCCGGCUCGCGCCUCCA
This 74-nucleotide transfer RNA is filed under the name Burkholderia mallei. Its description in RNAcentral is "tRNA-Cys (GCA) (tRNA-Cys-GCA-2-1)". It matches the Rfam family "tRNA". From Rfam's summary of the family: Transfer RNA (tRNA) molecules are approximately 80 nucleotides in length. Their secondary structure includes four short double-helical elements and three loops (D, anti-codon, and T loops). RNAcentral also lists the same sequence under 137 other names. Lineage: Bacteria; Pseudomonadati; Pseudomonadota; Betaproteobacteria; Burkholderiales; Burkholderiaceae. The record is from RNAcentral.